Molecule: ribosomal RNA, 253 nt
Filed under: uncultured bacterium
Lineage: Bacteria
Description: partial 16S ribosomal RNA
Rfam family: Bacterial small subunit ribosomal RNA
Source: RNAcentral
AACGUAGGUGGCGAGCGUUAUCCGGAUUUACUGGGCGUAAAGCGCGCGCAGGCGGUUUCUUAAGUCUGAUGUGAAAGCCCCCGGCUCAACCGGGGAGGGUCAUUGGAAACUGGGAAACUUGAGUGCAGAAGAGGAAAGUGGAAUUCCAAGUGUAGCGGUGAAAUGCGUAGAGAUUUGGAGGAACACCAGUGGCGAAGGCGACUUUCUGGUCUGUAACUGACGCUGAGGCGCGAAAGCGUGGGGAGCAAACAGG